Molecule: ribosomal RNA, 315 nt
Filed under: uncultured eukaryote
Lineage: Eukaryota
Description: partial 18S ribosomal RNA
Rfam family: Eukaryotic small subunit ribosomal RNA
Source: RNAcentral
CCCUUAGACGUUCUGGGCCGCACGCGCGCUACACUGACCAGUGCAACAAGCAUCCGUCCUUGGCCGACAGGCUCGGGCAAUCUUUGAACGCUGGUCGUGAUGGGGAUAGACUUUUGCAAUUUUUGGUCUUCAACGAGGAAUUCCUAGUAAACGCAAGUCAUCAACUUGCAUUGAUUACGUCCCUGCCCUUCGUACACACCGCCCGUCGCACCUACCGAUUGAAUGGUCCGGUGAAGCCUCCGGAUUGGCGCGCACCUCGGUGCCGCCGAGAAGUUGGCUAAACCUUACCAUUUAGAGGAAGGUGAAGUCGUAACA